GACGAACGCGUGGCGGCGCGCCUAACACAUGCAAGUCGAACGAGCGAGAGAGAGCUUGCUUUCUCGAGCGAGUGGCGAACGGGUGAGUAACGCGUGAGGAACCUGCCUCAAAGAGGGGGACAACAGUUGGAAACGACUGCUAAUACCGCAUAAGCCCACGGGUCGGCAUCGACCAGAGGGAAAAGGAGCAAUCCGCUUUGAGAUGGCCUCGCGUCCGAUUAGCUAGUUGGUGAGGUAAUGGCCCACCAAGGCGACGAUCGGUAGCCGGACUGAGAGGUUGAACGGCCACAUUGGGACUGAGACACGGCCCAGACUCCUACGGGAGGCAGCAGUGGGGAAUAUUGCACAAUGGGGGAAACCCUGAUGCAGCGACGCCGCGUGGAGGAAGAAGGUCUUCGGAUUGUAAACUCCUGUUGUUGGGGAAGAUAAUGACGGUACCCAACAAGGAAGUGACGGCUAACUACGUGCCAGCAGCCGCGGUAAAACGUAGGUCACAAGCGUUGUCCGGAAUUACUGGGUGUAAAGGGAGCGCAGGCGGGAAGACAAGUUGGAAGUGAAUCUAUGGGCUCAACCCAUAAACUGCUUUCAAAACUGUUUUCUUGAGUAGUGCAGAGGUAGGCGGAAUUCCCGGUGUAGCGGUGGAAUGCGUAGAUAUCGGGAGGAACACCAGUGGCGAAGGCGGCCUACUGGGCACCAACUGACGCUGAGGCUCGAAAGUGUGGGUAGCAAACAGGAUUAGAUACCCUGGUAGUCCACACCGUAAACGAUGAUUACUAGGUGUUGGAGGAUUGACCCCUUCAGUGCCGCAGUUAACACAAUAAGUAAUCCACCUGGGGAGUACGACCGCAAGGUUGAAACUCAAAGGAAUUGACGGGGGCCCGCACAAGCAGUGGAGUAUGUGGUUUAAUUCGACGCAACGCGAAGAACCUUACCAAGUCUUGACAUCCCUUGACAGACAUAGAAAUAUGUUUUCUCUUCGGAGCAAGGAGACAGGUGGUGCAUGGUUGUCGUCAGCUCGUGUCGUGAGAUGUUGGGUUAAGUCCCGCAACGAGCGCAACCCUUAUGGUCAGUUACUACGCAAGAGGACUCUGGCCAGACUGCCGUUGACAAAACGGAGGAAGGUGGGGAUGACGUCAAAUCAUCAUGCCCUUUAUGACUUGGGCUACACACGUACUACAAUGGCGUUAAACAAAGAGAAGCAAGACCGCGAGGUGGAGCAAAACUCAGAAACAACGUCCCAGUUCGGACUGCAGGCUGCAACUCGCCUGCACGAAGUCGGAAUUGCUAGUAAUCGUGAAUCAGCAUGCCACGGUGAAUACGUUUCCCGGGCCUU
Molecule: ribosomal RNA, 1333 nt
Filed under: uncultured bacterium
Lineage: Bacteria
Description: bacterial SSU rRNA
Rfam family: Bacterial small subunit ribosomal RNA
Source: RNAcentral